CUACGGGAGGCUGCAGUGGGGAAUAUUGCACAAUGGGCGCAAGCCUGAUGCAGCCAUGCCGCGUGUAUGAAGAAGGCCUUCGGGUUGUAAAGUACUUUCAGCGGGGAGGAAGGGAGUAAAGUUAAUACCUUUGCUCAUUGACGUUACCCGCAGAAGAAGCACCGGCUAACUCCGUGCCAGCAGCCGCGGUAAUACGGAGGGUGCAAGCGUUAAUCGGAAUUACUGGGCGUAAAGCGCACGCAGGCGGUUUGUUAAGUCAGAUGUGAAAUCCCCGGGCUCAACCUGGGAACUGCAUCUGAUACGGGCAAGCUUGAGUCUCGUAGAGGGGGGUAGAAUUCCAGGUGUAGCGGUGAAAUGCGUAGAGAUCUGGAGGAAUACCGGUGGCGAAGGCGGCCCCCUGGACGAAGACUGACGCUCAGGUGCGAAAGCGUGGGGAGCAAACAGGAUUAGAUACCCCCGUAGUC
This 464-nucleotide ribosomal RNA is filed under the name uncultured bacterium. RNAcentral's name for it is "partial 16S ribosomal RNA". It matches the Rfam family "Bacterial small subunit ribosomal RNA", at positions 339 to 795 of the family's 1533-position model. The record is from RNAcentral.